AUGAACACGGACUCGGAGACCACCAAGACCGCGUGCAAAGAUAUUCUGCAGAAAAAUUCAAAGAACAGACGCCAUCAGAUCAAGAAGAAGUAUUUUGAUACCGUAGCCGCAAAUAAAGUUAGCAUUAAGUCUCCCGUGCUUGAUCUGACAGAUGGUGAAUGGCAAGCUCUGGUGGAGAUGUGGUCUACCCCAAGACACAAGGAAACCUGUGUGUCGAACAAGAUUAAUCGAGAAAAAGUCGUGUACAAUCAGAGAACUGGUUCCAGAAAGAAGAGCGUAAUGGUGAGGAGCUGUCUGCGAUUGACUUGUUUAAGGCCACCCACAACAACAAGAAGCACGGGUUUUCAGAGUCAGUUAAGACUGCUAUACUUGAGAUGGAAAAAAUGA
Molecule: ribosomal RNA, 387 nt
Filed under: Triticum aestivum (bread wheat)
Lineage: Eukaryota; Viridiplantae; Streptophyta; Magnoliopsida; Poales; Poaceae
Description: partial small subunit ribosomal RNA
Source: RNAcentral